CAACAACAAGCCUUAAACAAGUAGAGGAAGAAGGGAAGGGCAUUUCAGGAAGUUAGAAGGUAGUGAACAAAGGCAUGAAGCUAGGUAAUACAGGAAGAGAGUGAACACUCCUGAGGGGGUGAGGGCUGAGCCAAGAGUCUAACUGGAUAAACGCUAACAGAAUGUACCCCUAGACUAACAAGACGAACACUGCCAUCCAUAAAAUGAGAAGAGCUAGAAUCUCUAGCUGAGAAUACCAGAAAGUAACAUUUUUAUCCAGCAGUCGGUACAUUCAAGAGGCAUCACUAAACAAAACAUGGUGACUUGGAUAUUAAGGGUGGA
Phascolarctos cinereus (koala) is the source of this 321-nucleotide non-coding RNA. The record is from RefSeq and is a predicted model, not a curated record. Lineage: Eukaryota; Metazoa; Chordata; Mammalia; Diprotodontia; Phascolarctidae.